GAUGAAGAACGUAGCGAAAUGCGAUAAUUAAUGUGAAUUUCAGAAUUCCGUGAAUCAUCGAGUCUUUGAACGCACAUUGCGCCUCAUGGCAUUCCGUGAGGCAUGCCCAUCUCAGCGUUAGAAAAUAUUCUCAAAUUUUAGUUUUGUGCUAAAAUUUGGAUCAUGUCAAGGAAGCUAUUACUAUUAUUGUGAUCGCUCUUUGGAAAUUGAUAGGUCUUUGAGUUGCUACUCAUAGAACGUGAUGAAUCUUUCUUCGUUCUAUUGUAAUUCACUCUGGUAGUCCUAAAACUUGUAUGCCUGUGGCAUAUCUUGUAAUUUGACCUGAGAUUGGGUAGGGAUACCCGCUGAACUUAAGCAUAUCAAUAAGCGGAGGA
Molecule: unclassified non-coding RNA, 374 nt
Filed under: soil metagenome
Description: partial contains internal transcribed spacer 2 and large subunit ribosomal RNA
Rfam family: 5.8S ribosomal RNA (bases 1-120)
Source: RNAcentral